CGAAGGGGGCUAGCGUUGCUCGGAAUCACUGGGCGUAAAGCGCACGUAGGCGGACUCUUAAGUCGGUGGUGAAAUCCUGGAGCUCAACUCCAGAACUGCCUUCGAUACUGAGAGUCUCGAGUCCGGGAGAGGUGAGUGGAACUGCGAGUGUAGAGGUGAAAUUCGUAGAUAUUCGCAAGAACACCAGUGGCGAAGGCGGCUCACUGGCCCGGUACUGACGCUGAGGUGCGAAAGUGUGGGGAGCAAACAGGAUUAGAUACCCUGGUAGUCCACGCCGUAAACGAUGGAUGCUAGCCGUUGGCAGGCUUGCCUGUCAGUGGCGCAGCUAACGCAUUAAGCAUCCCGCCUGGGGAGUACGGUCGCAAGAUUA
RNAcentral lists this ribosomal RNA (370 nucleotides) under uncultured organism. RNAcentral's name for it is "bacterial SSU rRNA". It matches the Rfam family "Bacterial small subunit ribosomal RNA", at positions 526 to 896 of the family's 1533-position model. The record is from RNAcentral.